RNAcentral lists this long non-coding RNA (224 nucleotides) under Physcomitrium patens. RNAcentral's name for it is "long non-coding RNA (PPAT_LNC012169)". Lineage: Eukaryota; Viridiplantae; Streptophyta; Bryopsida; Funariales; Funariaceae. The record is from RNAcentral.
AGAUCAAGGGGAUUGGAGAGGAGCUUCAUGCUUCGGGUCGGGGAAGAAAAGACGAAGAAUUGGAUUUUUCUUCUUCAUAGAGUUUUGGGAAGACUGAGGCAAUCGUUGCUGAAGUCAGUGUUGUAAUGGUGAAUCGAGAUUUUUUUAAUGAAGUGGAUUUGAUUACUCUUGACUGUUUUGUGAAAUCGAGUUACGUCUAUGAUUGAAGGAUUAAAAGGGUGUCU